CGGACGGGUGAGUAAUGUCUGGGAAACUGCCUGAUGGAGGGGGAUAACUACUGGAAACGGUAGCUAAUACCGCAUAACGUCGCAAGACCAAAGAGGGGGGCCUUCGGGCCUCUUGCCAUCGGAUGUGCCCAGAUGGGAUUAGCUAGUAGGUGGGGUAACGGCUCACCUAGGCGACGAUCCCUAGCUGGUCUGAGAGGAUGGCCAGCCACACUGGAACUGAGACACGGUCCAG
RNAcentral lists this ribosomal RNA (232 nucleotides) under uncultured bacterium. RNAcentral's name for it is "partial 16S ribosomal RNA". It matches the Rfam family "Bacterial small subunit ribosomal RNA", at positions 99 to 334 of the family's 1533-position model. The record is from RNAcentral.